Molecule: long non-coding RNA, 786 nt
Organism: Piliocolobus tephrosceles (Ugandan red Colobus)
Lineage: Eukaryota; Metazoa; Chordata; Mammalia; Primates; Cercopithecidae
Exons: 3
Source: RefSeq, a predicted model, not a curated record
CUUCAUGCCCACAAACUUGAGAACUUAGAUAAAACGAAUCAAUUCCUUGAAAGACCCAAUCUAAGUAGACCUAUAUGUACUUAAAAAAUUAAAUCAGAGGGGGCGGGGCCAAGAUGGCAGACUGUAAGCAGCAGUGAUUGUAGGCUCCCAUUGGAAAGAUUCAAAACAGAGUGCGAAUCCUGCACCAGCAACUGAGGUAUCCAGGUUCUGUCACCAGGACUGACUAGGCGGCUAGCGUGACCCACGGAGAAGAAGGAAGAGCAGUGGGGUGCGGCAGCCCACCUGAGAACCACACGGGCAGGGGAGUCCCCCUCCCCCAGCCAAGGGAGUCGAUGGAGUCUCACUCCGUCACUCAGACUGGCGUGCAGUGAAGCGAUCUUGGCUACCGCAACUCCUGCCUCCCAGGCUGAAGCAAUCCUUCCACCUCAGCCUCCCAAAUAGUUGGGACCACAGGAUCAGCAACACACAUGAAGGCUACAGCAAGCCACAGAUGCCACUGGGUUUCCAACUCCCUGCUCUGGUUCUCUCAACUCCCUGGUACUUCUUCCAACGUUGGUUCUCAUGAAGAAUGGCAAUCAUCAGCAUUCAUCUUAUCUAAGUCAGUUAGAGUAUAUUUUCCAAAAGGUCGUUGAAUAUUUGAGUCCGUUUAAAAUUAUUGUGAGAGUCACUUUGUAAAUAGAGUAUAAGAGCUGUUGUUUGCCAAGUGUGGCUGCAUUAAGUUGAUUAGAUGCUGAAAUGCAUAUGCUAUGGAAAUAGAAAAGAAUAUGAAAAAAUAUAUAAAUCUUG